GGUAUAAUGGAGAUAAUAUAGUGGACAGAAUUCUGCACUUGGAGGCAGAAUAAUUUGGUUCAAAUCUUGCCUUAGACACUUACUGAAUGUGCAAUCUUGGGAAAGUGAUUUAACCUCUCUGAGCUGAGGCUUCAAACCCAAUGCUUAGAAUUCACAAUUUCACUAUCUGAUUUCAUUCAACAUGAGCACAUGUACUUCUGUGUGCACACAGGUGUAAUAAUCAUAUUACAGCAAACUGGAAAUGUUUCUGUUUAUGUCUUCACAGGUGUAAGACGAGUUAGCCACCAGAAAGUUCUCUGCUGCCAGAAUGCUCCACACUAUGCACUCAAGAGUUUGAAAGGGAGAAAUCCAAAAAUGGGACCACGCCACAAAUUUUGUAAAGGCAGAGUCAGUCGUCUUUGUAAGAGGAUCCCUGGGGCACUUCCUCAGAUAUAACCCACCAGAACUGGAGACCACAGAAGAAGGCAAAGACCAAGGGACCUUCUCUGACCUCCAAGUUAACAAUGCUGCUCUUUGGUUUCAAGCUGAAGCCCCUCACCCUUCAAAGGAGAUUCAUCCCUCUCCAAGCUGCAUCAUGCUGACAAAGAUCAUUCUUGGAUGAACUCCUGCACCUAACUCACAAAGGCCACCCAUUCAGUCAUUGACUCUCAAUCACCCUUUGGCCAGUUGUGUUUGUCCUGCCUAGGGAAAGCUUGAGACUGGAAGCUUCUAUAGCUGUCUGUGCCAAGGAUACACAGAUUAUAGUAUCUCUGUCCCUCUCUGGCAUUGUUACUUAACUGAUCCUGACCUCUUGUUCUUUAUACUUUAAGUUUGUCAUACAUGUAACUAAUGAAUAAAUUGCAGGUUUGAAACGCCUGUGUAGUUCCU
RNAcentral lists this long non-coding RNA (867 nucleotides) under Phascolarctos cinereus (koala). RNAcentral's name for it is "lncRNA (ENSPCIG00000016326.2)". The record is from RNAcentral. Lineage: Eukaryota; Metazoa; Chordata; Mammalia; Diprotodontia; Phascolarctidae.